Molecule: ribosomal RNA, 550 nt
Filed under: Lacticaseibacillus paracasei
Lineage: Bacteria; Bacillati; Bacillota; Bacilli; Lactobacillales; Lactobacillaceae
Description: partial 23S ribosomal RNA
Rfam family: Bacterial large subunit ribosomal RNA
Source: RNAcentral
GAGACUGACAAGUCGAGCAGGGACGAAAGUCGGGCUUAGUGAUCCGGUGGUUCCGUAUGGAAGGGCCAUCGCUCAACGGAUAAAAGCUACCCUGGGGAUAACAGGCUUAUCUCCCCCAAGAGUCCACAUCGACGGGGAGGUUUGGCACCUCGAUGUCGGCUCAUCGCAUCCUGGGGCUGUAGUCGGUCCCAAGGGUUGGGCUGUUCGCCCAUUAAAGCGGUACGCGAGCUGGGUUCAGAACGUCGUGAGACAGUUCGGUCCCUAUCCGUCGCGGGCGCAGGAAAUUUGAGAGGAGCUGUCCUUAGUACGAGAGGACCGGGAUGGACGUUCCGCUGGUGUACCAGUUGUGCCGCCAGGCGCAUCGCUGGGUAGCUAUGAACGGCAGGGAUAAACGCUGAAAGCAUCUAAGUGUGAAGCCCCCCUCGAGAUGAGAUUUCCCAUUCCUAUAUGGAAGUAAGACCCCUGAGAGAUGAUCAGGUAGAUAGGCUGGAAGUGGAAGUGCAGCGAUGCAUGGAGCGGACCAGUACUAAUCGGUCGAGGACUUAACCAA